Molecule: ribosomal RNA, 495 nt
Filed under: uncultured bacterium
Lineage: Bacteria
Description: partial 16S ribosomal RNA
Rfam family: Bacterial small subunit ribosomal RNA
Source: RNAcentral
GACGAACGCUGGCGGCGUGCCUAAUACAUGCAAGUCGAACGAAGAAGGAGGAGCUUGCUUUUUUGGAUGUGUUGCGCACGGGUGAGUAACGCGUAGGUAACCUCCCUGGUUGCGGGGGAUAACUAUUGGAAACGAUGGCUAAUACCGCAUAAUAGUAGAUGUUGCAUGACAUUCACAUAAAAGGUGCAAUUGUAUCACUACCUGCUGGUCCUGCGUUGGUUUAGGUAGUUGGUGGGGUAACGGCUCAACAAGGAGACGAUACAUCGUCGACCAGAGGAGGGGGUCGGCCACACUGGGACUGAGACACGGCCCAGGCUCCUACGGGGAGCAACAGGAAGGAAACGUCGGGAAUGGGGGGAAGGCUGACCGAAGAACGCCGCGGGGGGGGAGAAGGGUCUCGGAUCGGAAAGCUCGGUUGUAAGGGGAGAACGAGAGUUAGAGUGGAAAGUGCACACUGUGACGGUAUCUAAUCAGAAAGGGACGGCUAACUACGUG